CUCAAACCUCAUUUUGUGACAUUACGGCGCCCGUCGGUGCAACGAGACCCGCGGCGGUCACACCGCUUUAUCCCCGCUUCCCUUUCACAAACUGUCUCAUUCUGUUAAAUAUAAAUGUUAUCAUCUUCUUAUUGAAGUGCAUCGAUUUAAGUAAGAGUGAUUUUUUUUAUCAACGCUGGCAGAAGAACGACAGCUUUACGGUUUGAUUGACGCGUCCUUCGCGCAAUGAGUCAGCGGGGGCGGGACGACGAGGCCGAGCCGCGCGCUCUGAUUGGCUGCGGGACGCGUCCGUCAAGGCUGGAAAUAUGCGGGAGGGACGUGAAGUGGCCGACAUCCUCCUGACCCAAAUUGGAUGCGUGUGUGAUGGCCCAUUGUGUUUUCAUUGACUGUUUGCGAUUCAGCGCCACUAAUAUCAAUAAAUCCUCAGAUUUAUGGCGUUAUAUUUGUGCCACAAUUCCGACGCGAGCAAAAGAUGAAGUACGCGAGCGCACCUACAAUUUUGUGCGCUCGCUCGACCCGCCUCUCUCUCGCUCUCUCAAUCUGCCUCCUGCGCUCGCUCGAAGAGCCCUGUGCGCUCGCUCCACAGUGUGCGGUGUUAGAAUUCUGCCACGCUGAUUGGUUGCUGCGGCUCCAAUCAGAUUUUAGCAUUCCGGAAGUACGUCUAGAACCAACGAAGAAGAAGAAGAGAACGUAAAUAAACAGCAAACCUUUUGAUUUCGACAACGGAAAGUUUACCACCACAGCCACAAGACAUCCAUCAGACCUGUUUCCCCCAGACACAACUGACUGGUUGCCGUUAGUGGAUCUGGGCCACAACAAGGUCCCAGCACCACCUCCAGCAGCCCAGGCCCGUGAUGAACGUGCUAGAAGCCGCAACAAAAGGAGGAAAGAUUCAGAAGCUGCUGAGAGUUUGGUGGCUUUACAGAACAUGUCAUGAAGUGACUGUGUGACCAGUGGUUGUGAACCACUGGAGGAGCAGACCUAUAAGCUGCAGCCAGAAGAGGAUGGAACUGAUCAGGAGUGUCAGGCCUGAUCUCACUGGCAUCCUGGUCACUGGCAUGCAGGAUGAGAUCAACUCUCUCACUGCAGAGAAUUUAGAAUGAAAAAACAAACUGACAGCUACUGAAAUUGGAGAAGAAACAUUAAAGAUGAUGACGAGAAUGUUCGUUUUUAUACAGGGCUACCAACAUAUGCCAUAUUGAUGAUGAUGAUGACGAUGAUGAUGAUGACAAAAUUGUGCACCUGUGCUGUGCACUGAUGAACAUCAGUGACACCAUUGUGCCUUUUGACUAAACUGUAAAUGUUUCUGUGCAGUAUUAAAGAACAGCUGUAUUCUUUUUCA
Long non-coding RNA from Salarias fasciatus (jewelled blenny), 1342 nucleotides. RefSeq lists it as uncharacterized. The record is from RefSeq and is a predicted model, not a curated record. NCBI's taxonomy places the organism in Eukaryota, Metazoa, Chordata, Actinopteri, Blenniiformes, Blenniidae. The transcript has 2 exons.